GACGAACGCUGGCGGCGUGCCUAAUACAUGCAAGUAGAACGCUGAAGGAGGAGCUUGCUUCUCUGGAUGAGUUGCGAACGGGUGAGUAACGCGUAGGUAACCUGCCUGGUAGCGGGGGAUAACUAUUGGAAACGAUAGCUAAUACCGCAUAAGAGUAGAUGUUGCAUGACAUUUGCUUAAAAGGUGCAAUUGCAUCACUACCAGAUGGACCUGCGUUGUAUUAGCUAGUUGGUGAGGUAACGGCUCACCAAGGCGACGAUACAUAGCCGACCUGAGAGGGUGAUCGGCCACACUGGGACUGAGACACGGCCCAGACUCCUACGGGAGGCAGCAGUAGGGAAUCUUCGGCAAUGGACGGAAGUCUGACCGAGCAACGCCGCGUGAGUGAAGAAGGUUUUCGGAUCGUAAAGCUCUGUUGUAAGAGAAGAACGAGUGUGAGAGUGGAAAGUUCG
RNAcentral lists this ribosomal RNA (452 nucleotides) under Streptococcus mitis. Its description in RNAcentral is "bacterial SSU rRNA". It matches the Rfam family "Bacterial small subunit ribosomal RNA", at positions 28 to 466 of the family's 1533-position model. The record is from RNAcentral. Lineage: Bacteria; Bacillati; Bacillota; Bacilli; Lactobacillales; Streptococcaceae.